This 253-nucleotide ribosomal RNA is filed under the name uncultured bacterium. RNAcentral's name for it is "partial 16S ribosomal RNA". It matches the Rfam family "Bacterial small subunit ribosomal RNA", at positions 524 to 776 of the family's 1533-position model. The record is from RNAcentral.
UACGUAGGGUGCGAGCGUUGUCCGGAAUUAUUGGGCGUAAAGAGCUCGUAGGCGGCCUGUCACGUCUGUUGUGAAAGCCCGGGGCUUAACCCCGGGUCUGCAGUCGAUACGGGCAGGCUAGAGUUCGGUAGGGGAGAUCGGAAUUCCUGGUGUAGCGGUGAAAUGCGCAGAUAUCAGGAGGAACACCGGUGGCGAAGGCGGAUCUCUGGGCCGAUACUGACGCUGAGGAGCGAAAGCGUGGGGAGCGAACAGG